CCUACGGGAGGCAGCAGUGAGGAAUAUUGGUCAAUGGCCGUAAGGCUGAACCAGCCAAGUCGCGUGAAGGAAGAAGGAUCUCUGGUUUGUAAACUUCUUUUAUAGGGGAAUAAAGGUAUCCACGUGUGGAUAUUUGCAUGUACCCUAUGAAUAAGCAUCGGCUAACUCCGGGCCAGCAGCCGCGGUAAUACGGGGGAUGCGAGCGUUAUCCGGAUUUAUUGGGUUUAAAGGGUGCGUAGGUUGUUGUUUAAGUCAGCGGUGAAAGUUUGUGGCUCAACCAUAGAAUUGCCGUUGAAACUGGAAGACUUGAGUGUGUUUGAGGGAGGCGGAAUGCGUGGUGUAGCGGUGAAAUGCAUAGAGAUCACGCAGAACUCCGAUUGCGAAGGCAGCUUACUAAGCAAUAACUGACACUGAGGUACGAAAGCGUGGGGAGCAAACAGGAUUAGAUACCCCAGUAGUC
RNAcentral lists this ribosomal RNA (460 nucleotides) under uncultured bacterium. RNAcentral's name for it is "partial 16S ribosomal RNA". It matches the Rfam family "Bacterial small subunit ribosomal RNA", at positions 338 to 795 of the family's 1533-position model. The record is from RNAcentral.